CCUGGUAGCUCAGAGGUUAAAGCGUCUGCCUGUAAUGCGGGAGACCCGGGUUCGAUCCCUGGGUCAGGA
This 69-nucleotide transfer RNA is filed under the name Bos taurus (domestic cattle). It matches the Rfam family "tRNA". From Rfam's summary of the family: Transfer RNA (tRNA) molecules are approximately 80 nucleotides in length. Their secondary structure includes four short double-helical elements and three loops (D, anti-codon, and T loops). The record is from Rfam by way of RNAcentral. RNAcentral also lists the same sequence under 1 other name. Lineage: Eukaryota; Metazoa; Chordata; Mammalia; Artiodactyla; Bovidae.